Long non-coding RNA from Tigriopus californicus, 3187 nucleotides. RefSeq lists it as uncharacterized. The transcript is spliced from 2 exons. The record is from RefSeq and is a predicted model, not a curated record. NCBI's taxonomy places the organism in Eukaryota, Metazoa, Arthropoda, Copepoda, Harpacticoida, Harpacticidae.
UACAAUUGGCCACGCUCAUUAUGGUCUUUUCAUCCGCAUCAACUCUGCUAUUUGGGUAACGAUGCAAAAAUACCUCUGGCAUUGGUAUUAACAUGGGUUACCGAAAUUUUUGCUCCGUUUAAGCAUUGCGGCACACUUCAAUCAGCACUCCAUUUGUUGCAAAAAACCCACCAACAAUUGAACCAACAAAGUGAUGACCUCUUGGAAAUCACAAUGGAAUUGGAGUCCAUGUUUGGAGUUAUUCCCAACCAAAACACCAGCUUGCCGGACGAAGAUAUCGAUUGGGACCUACAGGAGCAGGAACUAAACAAUCUUUUGACGCCCGAAAACCCGGCCCCGAUAGAGAACUGGACUCGCUUGGAGGAAGAGUUUGACCACCUCACCAAAACCGAGAAAAUGGACAGCUCUGUCCAGGCGUCUCCAACUAGCCUGACAAAAGGGACCACCAUCAGUGUAAAAACAGGAAAAAAGCACAAGGAGCGAUGUCCACGAGCCUUCAUGGUCACAGUCACAUGGGGUCGUGCAUGUUUAGCAUGCGCUAGUCCAAACCACGUCCAGGCCAAAUGUCCUAGUCUCCAAACCAGCCAUGUACAUCUAUGUGCCUACCCGCAAUGUGGCAACUCCAGACCUCACGUGAUCAAAGGAUGUGUCACAUUGCAUUCAAGAUGCAAUAAGUGUUUGUGUCGUGGGCAUAUGAGCAGCCAGUGAGAUGACAAUACUGCACAACAGUGGUUUGAAAUGUUCCAAAAAUACGCAUCGCACGGAAGGUACACUCAAAGACUUUUCCAUGACGCCGCUUGGGGAUUUUGGCCCUGGCAAGAUUCCCGCACAAACAAUACAACAGUUCCAUUGUGUGCUCAGCAAGUGUAUUUGCCAAAAAUGAACUUUGUCCAAACUCAAAGCCGAGUGCUCCAAGCUCUGAGUAAAACAGAAGAAAACCCCAAACAAUUAUCAAGGGAGAUUGCAUAUUGAAAUAUUUGUAAAAAACCUUUGAACAGCAUGUUUACCUUCUAUACCCCCCUUAUGCAUAGCAAGCGUCUUUUACUGCACCUAAGGUUGGCUUGCUACUCACGCCAACGGCGGGGAGUGUUAUGUGCUGUGCACUGUUCUCUGUACUUGGCGAAAUUCGGGAAACACACAACUUGAAUGCUCUGGGGUAUGUUUGAUUUAUCUGGGGAAUCUUCAGAAACAAGAAAACUUACGAAAUCAGUGGUGGUCAUGGAUCUAGACCCACGAAUACGAACAAUCAAAAGUAUUUCAUAAACCCGUAUGUAACUUAAAGUGCAUAUCCGAUUCGGUGUCCAAGCUCAAUGAACUCAAAAGUUCAUGCGUCAUGUCUAGACGUCUGGCCUUGAGAAAAGCGGAACAAACUGCAGUUUGACAACCGAUCAUUACCUAGCAACCAGGCCCAUCACACGUAAGCGUUCUAGAAAAGGUCCCGUGACUCCCUAUUGCACUGGAUAUUUCUGAGGCAAACACUGUAGUCACGGGCCCUCCUCCUUCUAGAACAUCAACCUCGGGUAUAAAAAGCCGUCCCCAGAGCAAAGAAAAAGAGUUGAUAUGAUGAAGUAAAACGAAACGCAAGUUAUUCUUCAUUUGGCUCCACUUUGGAGCUAGCAAGCUCUUUUAACUUUAGCAUCAGAUCAAAAGUUGUCUGGUGUCGAGGUGCAAUCAAUUUCGUAAAGAGAAGUGCAAAGUGCAGACAGUGAAUCCCUGUACCGAGGAGUCAAAGAGGCCAAGCCAUCCUUACCCCUUAUAUCCCUGACCAACUUGAUGGUGGUAUUCUUUUUAGGUUUCCUCUUCUUCAUUUGUGUACUGUCCACUGGUCGUAACUCAGUUUGCAUUGAGAACUGGCUUUUGAUAUCUUGAUCGAGCAUCGCGAGAUUUCAUAGCUAAUUCUUUCUGAGUCGUUUUGUGUACUGUCCACUGGUCGUAACUCAGUUUGCAUUGAGAACUGACUUUGAUAUCUUGAUCUAGCAUUGCGAGAUUUCAUAGCUAAUUCUUUCUGAGUAUUACCUGAUUAUUGUCGUGAUUCAGAUUGGCAUUGGGACUGGCAUUGGUAACCUAGCUUGGUUCAAUACGGACCGUUGCAUUGGAGGCUUCCAUAUCCAAUCUAUCAAUUUGAAUCUAGUUGUUCGGAUUGACCUGCAUUGGGCGUAGGCUCCGGCCACCGCCGCCGCAAUCCGUUGUACCGUAAAUCUAUCGUAAGUUAAGGCACUCUGUCCUCUCUCUAUCUCAAAAUCAUCCUCAUACUUGGUCAGAGAAAAGGUGAACGAGUAAACGGCUGAGCUAAGGAGGCACCAUCGGAUCCUUGACUCUCCUCUCCAGUUCGUACCAAGGUACGUCCAAGCGGUGGGCCCAAUGGCCCCUCUUCCAGAACGCCCAAUGCCUCCUCUUCCAGACCGCCCAAUGCCUACUCUUACAGAAACCGCUCGCCCAUCAACCUUCCCAUGCCUUCAUUCGCAAACGCACCCAGGUCGUCUCGGCGUCGACCCAGGACCAAGCCGCCCUCUACAUCAGUGGGACACACCUCUACCCGCCCGUCGGACUUGGCCGCCAUUUCCCGCGAUGACCUCGAACGGGAACUAUGUAAACGGCUCCGCUGUUCCUAAUGCUUCUCAGCUCUUCUGCCUUCAAUUCUCAAGCACCUUGUGGACUCCUUCCCCAUGGCUCCCGUCUGAAAGCCUCAUGUCCCAUGAAUGCUCUCCACCUCUCAACAGCACUUUCCAUGAAGAACAAUUACUUUCAUAUUUUCUCGUCCUAUUCUCCUUUUAUAUCUUAAUGCUUCCAUCUUAUCCCGUAUUACACGAAUACCUUUCUUUUCACACUUCAACUUCUUUUCAUGUGUACUUGUAGUUGUGAAUUUGUCAGGUCUGCUCGCACCUAUGAUCGGGGUUCUCUCAGACAAAGCUUCCGGUUCUUCUUUGUUGACAAGGUCCACGGUUUCCUUUUACCUUGUCACGAGGGCAUGUACGCGUAUAUGUACAAAAGCAUCGUCAUGAGAAAACCACACUCUGAUCCCAAAGAGAGACUCUACGCUUCAACAUAUUGCGGCAGACCUGGAACACGCGCUUUAAGCCCCUCCUCUUCUCUGCCUUAAGCUCCUCCUUUUCUCUUUUCCAGUUGUGUAUUUAAAGCUAUGUUUAUCAUGAAUAAAAGGCAGUCUACGACUUACCCCCAAGACCAA